RNAcentral lists this long non-coding RNA (5151 nucleotides) under Sus scrofa (pig). Its description in RNAcentral is "lncRNA (ENSSSCG00000060633.1)". The record is from RNAcentral. Lineage: Eukaryota; Metazoa; Chordata; Mammalia; Artiodactyla; Suidae.
UAUCUAAUUAGACAGACAAAGACAGAGAGACAGAGAGAGAAACAGACAGCAAGACAAACACAUGCACCCCUCCCCCACACAGAUUGAUUGAUUUUAAGGAAUUAGCUUGUGUGCCUACGGAGGCUGACAAGUCCAAAAUCUUCAGGACAGAGAAGUAGAUUGAAACCCAGGAAAUAGUUAAUUUUGAAGCUUGAGUCUAAAUGCUGGAAGCAGACUCCCUUCUUCCUUGGGGAAGUCAGUCUCUUUCUCAGGCCUUCAAAUGACUGAAUCAGAUUUCUUCCUCCUUCCCCAACCCUGAUAUUAUAGAAGGUGAGCUACUUUAUUCAAAGUCUACUGAUUCAAAUGUUACUCUCAUCUAAGAAGUACCUUCACAGCAUCAUCCAGACUGACAUUUGACCACAUAUCAGGGUGUGGUCAUCUAAAAAGUAACUUCUCAUCUAAAAAGUACCUUCACAGCAACAUCCAGACUGGUGUUUGACCACAUAUCAGGGUACUGUGAUCUAUAAAAUUUAGCAUAUAAAAUUAACCAUCACAGGUAGUAUGGGAAAAUAUACUGGGUUUUUUUGUUUUGUUUUUUUUUAAAGUUACUCUACUUUAAAAAAGAAACUGCUGUAUAUUUUGGCAUUCUCAGAUAAUUCUCAGUUGAUAUUACUGCCCUCCACGGAAAGAUUUAAAAUUAUAAAAAUGGAAAACCUGGGCCCCAUCAGAAGUGAUCCACGUUGCUAUCAAAUGCUAUUGAGAGCCAAGGUAUUUUCGUUGCCAUGCACUUUCUCCCCAGAGAUCAGCUUUGUAACUGCAGCCCAGGCCUCUGGGGAGGGGUCCUGGAAUGUUCAGGAAGGGGACUGCUUCCCAGGGUAAUGCACCCUUAGCUCACAUCCAAAUCAGGGCCUUCAUCUGGAGAGUAUUUUGCAGAGGGGCUGACCUGGGAAGGAUGGUAUCAACAAUGUCACAUGCAGAUUUGAAUGGUGUCAGAGAUGGCAGGAUGUGCUUUAAAUUUCAUCAGAGACCCCAUUUGUUCCAUGGGGCUAGAAGGCAGAAGGUGGGAAAAUCAUGGAGGCAGGUGGUGUCUCAAGCCAACACAUAGCACCUUGAGCUCUCAGCAGUGGAGCCUACUUUCCCUGCUCCUGGAGCUGCUGGAGCACCUGUGGGGUGUGAUGGCAGAGGAUGAGGCCAAAUGGCCCUUGAGAUCCAUUCCCCAUUAUGGGGGAUGUGAUGGUCUAGAUGAAGAAUGAGGACCAAAUGUGGGAGAUGUUACUAAGGGAAAAUAGAGCUAGAUCUCAUGGAUGUGGGAGAGUUAGAAGAAGAUAGAUUCAGAGUGGGCAUGUUGAGUGUGAAAGCUAAAAUGUCAUCCAAAGAGUGUUGCCCUUGGCAACUGCAGAUGUGGCAUAAUGGAGGGUGAGGGAGAAGGCAGGAUGGGAGAUUAGCUUCAUGGUUGGAGAGUGGGUCGGAUCUCACAGGGGCUGUGUUAAAGGGUGAUGAGUGAGAGCAGAAAGCCAGGGGUCCCAUGUACCUCCUAGAGAUGAUGAUGAUGGGUCCCAAUCUAAACAUCACCUGACCCAUAUCCCAAUAAAUAAAACUCACCAGAGCUUACUAAAGGUGCAGUCUUGGCACAUGGUAGGAGAGAAAGAGAGAAGGAGGAGAGGAGGCAUGAGGGAGGGAAAGAGGGAGGAGUGAAGAUCUGUUUGACUCAUAUGUUUUUCUUUAGCUAAUUUAGAAAUAUUUUGAAUAUUUUCAUAAUAAUUCAAACAAUAUAAAUACAUGUUUUUUUAAUUUAUUUUUUUACUUUUUUAUUACUCAAAUGAAUUUAUCAUAUCUAUAGUUGUAUAAUGAUCAUAACAAUCUGAUUUCACAAGAUUUCCAUCCCACAGCCCAAGCAUAUCCCCCUACUCCCCAAACUGUCUCCUCCGGAGACCAUAAGUUUUUCAAUGUCUGUGAGUCAGCAUCUAUUCUGCAAAGAAGUUCCGUCUGUCCUUUUUUCAGAUUCCACAUGUCAGUGAAAGCAUUUGAUGUUGGUGUCUCAUUGUAUGGCUGACUUCACUUAGCAUGAUAGUUUCUAGGUCCAUCCAUGUUGCAAAAAAUGCUGGUAUUUCAUUCUUUUUAAUGGCUGAGUAAUAUUCCAUUGUGUAUAUGUACCACAUCCUAUUGAUCCACUCCUCUGUCGAUGGACAUUUAGGUUGUUUCCAUGUCUUGGCUAUUGUAAAUAGUGUUGCAAUGAACAUUGGAGUACAUGUGUCUUUGCGAGUCGUGGUUUUCUCUGGAUAGAUGCCCAGGAGUGGGAUUGCUGGAUCCAAUGGUAGUUCUAUGUUUAGUUUUCUGAGGAAUCUCCAUACUGCUUUCCACAGUGGUUGCACCAAUUUACAAUCCCACCAGCAGUGUUCGAGGGUUCCUUUUUCUCCAUACCCUCUCCAGCACUUAUUGUUUGUAGUUUUGUUUGUUUGUUUGUUUUUUUUUUUUUUGGUCUUUUUAGGGCCACACCCUUUACAUAUGGAAGUUCUCAGGCUAGGGGUUGAAUAGUAGCUGUAGCUACUGGUCUAUACCACAGCCACAGCAAUGCCAGAUCCAAGCCACGUCUGCAACCUACACCACAGCUCAGGGUAAAGCAGGAUCCUUAAUCCACUGAGCAAGGCCAGGGAUCGAACCUGCAUUCUCAUGGAUACUAGUUGGGUUUGUUUCCACUGAGCCACAAUGGGAACUCCCAUAAAUACAUGUUCUUACUACUUAUGCUUUACCUUUAUUUUCCUUAUUUUUGACUUUCCCAGGGCUUGAAGCCAGAGGCAAGGCUGGGUGUGCUGGUGACUGUCUCUUUGGGGCAUCUCAUCUUUGUGGGGUGAAGACUGUGUGUUUAGAUGGGGGGCUCUGGGCUAGUUGGUUGUAUGUCCUUCCUUUGGGCCCUGGGAACUCUGAGAACAAUGGGUUACUUCUUCGCAAGACUAUUAUUUAUUGCCUUUUAGUGCAGAUUUAUGAAUGUGUUACUUGCUUAAAUUUUGUCAUUUCUUUAACAAAAUAGCAGGCAUAUCUCGUGUCAGCACCAUCAAACUCCAGGAAAAUGUUCAAAAGAAAACGAUGCUUAUGGUCACAUCCUAGAACUUUGAUUCAUAUAAAAACAAGUAUUAAAGGAACACUCAUGAACUUCCAGGAUCCCCUUAAUAUUCAUAUUUUUGCAGGUGUGGAAAAUGAGACCAACAGACUGGAAGUGAUGUGUCCACAGUUAACGUGAAUGUUGCGUGGCCAGGUCAUCAUUCAGUUCUAUGUUUCCUAACAUGAGAUAUAAUACUUAUUAUGCAUAUAAUAAUGACGCAUAUUCUGCUCAUAAUCUAGUAAGGGUCAAGAUCCAUAGGUGUAUGGAAAGUUCAAAGGCAAUGGCAUGGAACUCAGUGAGUGUUGAAAGAUGGAGCACAGGGUCAGCCUGGGAUAGCAUGGCUUUUUUUCAAUGCCAGCCUUUCCUUGCUUUUUCCUUUCACACUCAAUAAAAGAUGACCUCCCUCAAAUAGAUGUCAUUCCUGUUAGGAUUCAGGUGAUAUUUUGAUGAUUUUGAUAUUUAAUAUUUUUUAUAACAAAACCCAGGAAUGUUCAAAUGCUGUCCCAAAGCAUAGCAAUGCCUCUCUGUGAAAUUCUAGAUGGCAGUGCACACUCAAGCUUAUACAGUUAGUAAGUAGCAUGUAGGCUGAUAAACGCUCAUCCAGAAUUGUUUGGGAAAUUGAGCCACAGCCAGUGGGCCAGCAUCCUCUUUCCCUUUAAGCACUAAUGUGUACCUUCAGCCAGCCACUGAACACAAAACCCUGAGACAGCCUGAAAACAGUGAGGAUGAGUGAGAAAAAGGAGGAGGGGUCUGCCAGAGAUGCUGCAUAAUGACGUGUGGGCUAGCCAAUAGUCUUUGGAGCCUGAAGGGAGAGGAAGGACCAAGGGUGAGGUGGGGAGAAGACCAUGAUCGAGAGAGGUGACAGUAUGUGCAGAUUGCAAGAAGCACAAGGUGAGUGGGGAAUGGGGCUUGGCCAGGAGCAAAUCAGCGAUAAAAUAUUAUAGUUAUUAGCUCCUCAAAAAGCACCAUGAGUAAGAGGCAAAAUUCAAGAAUGGCAAGGGAAGGUAAUUGAGCUCUAAUUGGAGGCAGAUUCACCUGUCUGCACAAAUUAGGACCAGAGGUUCAACCCCUAAAACUCUUUUGAAAAGUAAACAUUUGUUUGUGAAUGGCAAAAAGGAAAGGCAUGAUCUGCCAUUCUCCUCCAGCAGUGGUCACGGGAGAGCAAUUUUUAUUAGCAGCCCCCUCUUAACUUGUACCACAUGCCUGUCCCUGUUAUCCCUGUCCCCAUUAUCUCCUCUGUAGCCCGCGAGUUGGAAGUUCUCACCUGCUUAGAUUGCUCUUACACACACACACACACACACACACACACACACACACUUGCGCGUCUGCGCGCGAACGCAACCCUCCCUGGAAGGGGAAAUGAGGGAAUCAGUACCAGAUGUGCACAUGCACCAUGGAUAGAUGCUUUGGGAUGCUUACUUGUCUCCACUCACCUCAUAACACAGCUGCACCUUUUCUUCAGUGCUAGCCAUCUGUGACUCGGUGACAAUGGAGUGAGUGGUCCUGCACUGUCAGCCUUGCCCCUAUUUGGAAGAGUCAUAUACUCCAUUUGACUGGCUGGGUGUUAUCCUCUGUUGGCUGUGGAAAGACACCAGCUCCCUCUAGAAAGUGUGUUAGAGAGAGAUGCCCCCAGACGCUGUCUGAGGAGGAAGGGUUAGUCAUUAAAAAUGUGGGAAGAAUGAGACAUGAUGAUUGGGACAUAGCGUAUCACUUGUAUCUCAGAAAUUGGCUACAAAUUACUAAGACCUCCUCAUCCCUGUGUAUUUGAAUUUGGAAAUUUAAAGUUUUCUUUGGAAAGAAAUGACAAGGAAUGAAUAGAAGUGGAGUUAAGAGUUGGAAAGAGGAGUUCCCGUCGUGGCACAGUGGUUAACUAGUCCAUCUAGGCACCAUGGGGUUGCGGGUUCGUCCCUGCCCUUGCUCAGUGGGUUGACGAUCUGGCGUUGCCGUGAGCUGUGGUGUGGGUUGCAGAUGUGGCUCGGGUCCCACGUUGCUGUGGCUCUGGCGUAGGCUGGUGGCUAUGGCUCCGAUUGGACCCCUAGCCUGGGAAUCUCCAUAUGCUGCGGAAGCGGCCC